AUAUUAAAUAAGAAUGAACUAUAUACCCUUACAAAUACAGAGAAGAUUAUCAUGGCCCCUGCGCAAGGAUGAUACAUCCUAAGAAAUAGAGUCCACAUUACCUA
Spodoptera frugiperda (fall armyworm) is the source of this 104-nucleotide small nuclear RNA. The record is from RefSeq and is a predicted model, not a curated record. NCBI's taxonomy places the organism in Eukaryota, Metazoa, Arthropoda, Insecta, Lepidoptera, Noctuidae.